RNAcentral lists this ribosomal RNA (497 nucleotides) under uncultured bacterium. RNAcentral's name for it is "partial 16S ribosomal RNA". It matches the Rfam family "Bacterial small subunit ribosomal RNA", at positions 28 to 507 of the family's 1533-position model. The record is from RNAcentral.
GAUGAACGCUGGCGGCGUGCUUAAUACAUGCAAGUCGAACGAACGGACGAGAAGCUUGGUACUCUGAUGUUAACGGCGGACGGGAGAGUAACGCGUGGAUAACCUACCUAUAAGACAGGGAUAACUUCGGGAAACCAGUGCUAAUAACGGAUAAUAUUUUGAACCGCAUGGUUGAAAAGUGAAAGACGGUCUUGCUGUCACUUAUAGAUGGAUCCGCGCUGCAGUAGCGAGUUGGUAAGGUAACGGCUUACCAAGGCAACGGUGGAUAGCCGACCCGAGAGGGGGUAGCCCGCCACUGGGAGUGACACACGGUCUAGGCACCUACGGGCGGCCGAGGCAGGGACUCUUCCGCGAUGGGCGGAAUCCUGCCGGAGCGGCGCCGCGUGGAUGAUGAAGGUCUUCGGGUCGUAUAACUCUGUUAUGAUUGAAGACCAUUUGUGUAAGUGGCUGUGCUCAUCGUGACGGUACCUAAUCAGAAAGCCACGGCUAACUACGUG